RNAcentral lists this ribosomal RNA (60 nucleotides) under Rhododendron chihsinianum. RNAcentral describes it as "partial 5.8S ribosomal RNA". The record is from RNAcentral. RNAcentral also lists the same sequence under 1 other name. Lineage: Eukaryota; Viridiplantae; Streptophyta; Magnoliopsida; Ericales; Ericaceae.
UUGGACGCAAGUUGCGCCUGAAGCCAUUAGGUUGAAGGCACGUCUGCCUGGGCGUCACGC